GACGAACGCUGGCGGCGUGCCUAAUACAUGCAAGUUGAGCGCUGAAGGUUGGUACUUGUACCAACUGGAUGAGCAGCGAACGGGUGAGUAACGCGUGGGGAAUCUGCCUUUGAGCGGGGGACAACCUUUGGAAACGAAUGCUAAUACCGCAUAAAAACUUUAAACACAAGUUUUAAGUGUUAAAGAUGCAAUUGCAUCACUCAAAGAUGAUCCCGCGUUGUAUUAGCUAGUUGGUGAGGUAAAGGCUCACCAAGGCGAUGAUACAUAGCCGACCUGAGAGGGUGAUCGGACACAUUGGGACUGAGAAACGGCCCAAACUCCUACGGGAGGCAGCAGUAGGGAAUCUUCGGCAAUGGACGAAAGUCUGACCGAGCAACGCCGCGUGAGUGAAGAAGGGUUUCGGAUCGUAAAACUCUGUUGGUAGAGAAGAACGUUGGUGAGAGUGGAAAGCUCAUCAAGUGACGGUAACUACCCAGAAAGGGACGGCUAACUACGUG
RNAcentral lists this ribosomal RNA (497 nucleotides) under uncultured bacterium. RNAcentral's name for it is "partial 16S ribosomal RNA". It matches the Rfam family "Bacterial small subunit ribosomal RNA", at positions 28 to 507 of the family's 1533-position model. The record is from RNAcentral.